UCUCUCUCUCUCUCUCUCUCUCUCUCUACCUCUGCUGCUGCGUGCGCAGUCCGAUCUAUUGCCAAAAGUACCCUAGACAGGCCCAGCAUUUACAGGAAUGCCAUUGGCCGCCUGCCGCACCUAGGUGGCGCCGCUCUCCACGGCGGGGCUCCAAAUCCCCCAGCGGCGCAGGUUCAGCACCCCGCCCAUCACGUCCGCCCACCCGCGCUUCCUCUCUUCAUCGGCCUCCGCCGCCACCUCGCCGCCGCAUUGCUCCGCUUUGGCCUCCGCGCCAGUCUCUUCCGGGACAUUCUCCUUGUUCUCGGAGAGGCACGCCGCGGGGGCCGGUGGUGGCGGGGUACAAGGGCAGGAAGGGAGGAGCGGCGCCGAGGGUUCAUGCGCCACCUCGGAUGGGGGCUCCUGGGACUCGGGGCUGCCCCGCGUCGGCGGCUGUGGCGGAGGUGUAGUAGCGGCAGGAGCCCUGCUGCGCUUUCCCUUGUCGCGGCGCUUGGAGGAGGGAGGGGUGGCGGUGGCGGCGGCGGCGGACUCGGCGGCGUUGAGGUGCUCCUCGAAGGCGUCGAGGACGGCGUGUAUGCGGUCGUGCUGCGGGGAGCAGUCCCACCGCGACCAGAAGCUGCCGUAGCACUGGAAGCACAGGCACCCGACGGUGGGCGGGUGGCCGCGCCUGCGACGCGGGCCCCCGCGCGCCUGCUCCGGCGGCGGCGCCGUGAUGGUGUCCCAGCCCAGCAGGAACGAGCGCGUGACGAGGUGGGCCAGCACCCGCUGGUCCUCGGGGCACAGCCCGGCGACGAGGACGAGGAUGGCGGCCGGGAGGAGGCGGAAUGCCGCCGCGGUGGGGUCCUCGGCGGGCGAAGGGUGGAUCUUGCCGCCCUUUCCGGGCUUGGGGCACAGCGUCUUCAUGGCCGCCGCUGGGCUUCGGGGGCGGUAGGGUUUAAGCCCCACUCUGCCUCCUCGUCGCGGAGGGUGGUGGGCUGUUAGGGUUUGGGACUGACCAAAGAAAGGGAAGGGGGAGAAGCGAAGGUGGCAUGUGUGGUGGUGGGCUUCGGGAGGAGCGCUUAUAGGGGGCGAGGUGCACAGGAACAGUUGCCUUCGUUCGGCUCCUUUUGCUUUCUCCGCUCAACUUUUCU
RNAcentral lists this unclassified non-coding RNA (1127 nucleotides) under Zea mays. RNAcentral's name for it is "misc RNA Zm00001eb180940". Lineage: Eukaryota; Viridiplantae; Streptophyta; Magnoliopsida; Poales; Poaceae. The record is from RNAcentral.